AUUUUAUCCCUGAUAUUUUGGAUGUGACUGGAGUAGACGAGUGUGCGUAGCAAGCACUCAAUAGAAAUGACUAAAGAAUGGAAUGUGAUAUGUAUGCUACCAGAGGAGAAAGAGCAGCUUCUAUUUGCAGCAGUGAUGAACAGAGUCCCACAAAUCUCCAAAGCACAGAGGAUGAGACUAAGGAAAGCAGACCCCUAAAUGGGACAUUUACAUCACAUCCCCUCCUUCCAAGACCCAGCAGUGAUCAUCAAAGAAGAGUAAAGAAGAAAGGACCAUAAGUGUCAGGAUUCACUUCAGUGUUGAAGACUUUAGAACGUUAUAGAAAAACAACAACAACAAACAAACACCGCUUUUCAAGAAAGCUCUCACAGAAGCGACAAUAGACAGUGGCCAACACCCAGAGGCCGUCUCUU
Molecule: long non-coding RNA, 413 nt
Organism: Mastomys coucha (southern multimammate mouse)
Lineage: Eukaryota; Metazoa; Chordata; Mammalia; Rodentia; Muridae
Exons: 3
Source: RefSeq, a predicted model, not a curated record